This 522-nucleotide ribosomal RNA is filed under the name Alternaria sp. Its description in RNAcentral is "LSU rRNA". It matches the Rfam family "Eukaryotic large subunit ribosomal RNA", at positions 69 to 597 of the family's 3401-position model. The record is from RNAcentral. Lineage: Eukaryota; Fungi; Ascomycota; Dothideomycetes; Pleosporales; Pleosporaceae.
CAGGGAUUGCCCUAGUAACGGCGAGUGAAGCGGCAACAGCUCAAAUUUGAAAUCUGGCUCUUUUAGAGUCCGAGUUGUAAUUUGCAGAGGGCGCUUUGGCUUUGGCAGCGGUCCAAGUUCCUUGGAACAGGACGUCACAGAGGGUGAGAAUCCCGUACGUGGUCGCUGGCUAUUGCCGUGUAAAGCCCCUUCGACGAGUCGAGUUGUUUGGGAAUGCAGCUCUAAAUGGGAGGUACAUUUCUUCUAAAGCUAAAUAUUGGCCAGAGACCGAUAGCGCACAAGUAGAGUGAUCGAAAGAUGAAAAGCACUUUGGAAAGAGAGUCAAACAGCACGUGAAAUUGUUGAAAGGGAAGCGCUUGCAGCCAGACUUGCUUACAGUUGCUCAUCCGGGUUUCUACCCGGUGCACUCUUCUGUAGGCAGGCCAGCAUCAGUUUGGGCGGUAGGAUAAAGGUCUCUGUCACGUACCUCCUUUCGGGGAGGCCUUAUAGGGGAGACGACAUACUACCAAGCCUGGAGUUGAG